Molecule: long non-coding RNA, 617 nt
Filed under: Capsella grandiflora
Lineage: Eukaryota; Viridiplantae; Streptophyta; Magnoliopsida; Brassicales; Brassicaceae
Description: long non-coding RNA (CGRA_LNC001734)
Source: RNAcentral
AGUUUAAGUUAUCUGGUUUCUUUAAAAGUUUGUAGAGAGAUUAUUUAAAACACCCAGAAGGAUUUCGUAGUAUAAAUCCUUGGUCCCCACCACCACCUACUCUCUUUAACCAAAAUUCCAAUCUGAAUAAAAGAUUAUAAUUGUUUAAUCCGAUAACAAAGAGUAAUCAAAGAGCACAUGAUUGUGUGUUUUUGGCAUUAGUCUCUUUCACUUUUUGCUUGCUUCUCUCCCAUGGAGAAUCAUCACAAUUGAGGACUAUGAAAAUAAAGCUAAUGAGAACAUUGAAGAAUAUUAUGCAAUGAUGGGAUUUGAUAAUAAUUUUCCUUCAUAAGCAUUAUCCCUGGUCAACUGUGGCAGGUCUUGAGCAUGAGCCGUCUUGGUGGAGCCGGUGCUGUCGCACCACUAGUCACUGAAAUGCCAUUGUCAUCAUCAAUUGAGGUUAGACUAAAGAGAGAGAUAGACUUAAAAGCGAGAACUAAAGUAGAGAACUUUGGUAAUAGGUAGGUUUGAUCACUUACUGGUUUUAACAUUUCUUCAGGAUGAGACGCAGGCCGUGUGGGAGAAAUGGUCAAACGAUGGGACAGAGCGGCAAGUGGCUAAGCUGAUGGAAGAAAACG